This 63-nucleotide microRNA precursor is filed under the name Sphenodon punctatus (tuatara). RNAcentral describes it as "Spt-Mir-191_pre stem-loop". It matches the Rfam family "mir-191 microRNA precursor family", at positions 15 to 77 of the family's 91-position model. The record is from RNAcentral. Lineage: Eukaryota; Metazoa; Chordata; Lepidosauria; Sphenodontia; Sphenodontidae.
CAACGGAAUCCCAAAAGCAGCUGUUUCCUCCUAGCAGCUCAGCUGCCCUUGGAUUUCGUUCCC